Molecule: transfer RNA, 75 nt
Filed under: Nocardia tengchongensis
Lineage: Bacteria; Bacillati; Actinomycetota; Actinomycetes; Mycobacteriales; Nocardiaceae
Description: tRNA-Ser
Source: RNAcentral
GUUGGACUGGUGGACGAGUCUUGAUGUUCCCUUACGCGGAAGUGGUCACUGGUUCGAUCCCAGUGUCCCACACCA